Serinus canaria (Common canary) is the source of this 4315-nucleotide long non-coding RNA. RefSeq lists it as uncharacterized. The transcript is spliced from 2 exons. NCBI's taxonomy places the organism in Eukaryota, Metazoa, Chordata, Aves, Passeriformes, Fringillidae. The record is from RefSeq and is a predicted model, not a curated record.
UUAAAAGGCGUUGCGGCCAUGCGGUCGGGGUCUGUUCGGAGCAGUACUGAGAUUCGGAACUGUAAUACCUUGGAAUAAACUCUGGAUUUAACUCUCCGGCAGAACACACUCUCUUCCUCUUCACUAUCGCCUGGACUUUUCUACUAGAGGGUUGUUUCCUGACCAAUUCCUGCUGCAACAAAGACGAUGUAAAACCAAGCUGGGACUCCAUCAGCUCCUGAAGAGGGACAAGUCCAAGCUGAGAGUUGUGAGCUUGUGUCUGCAAAGUCACUGUCCAUUAUUCAAUACAUUUCAAGUGCAUCAUCAGUCUAACUGGACAGAUGAGGUUGUGUGUGCUCAGAAGCUGUCUAGUGCCAUAGCUACCACCUGACAAACCAUUUGUGGACCAUACUUCAACUACUAGAUACUGGGAAGGAUUAGUUAAGGAGGGAAAAAAAAAAAAAAAAAGAGCAACAUUCAACAGGAAACAGACUUCUCAUUGUGCCCCUUCAUUGUAUAUUCUCCGUGUUCCCUUUUUUGCUCAGAGAUGCAGGCCAGUUUGGGACACUCUAAAUUGUCAAGAGCAGCAAGGGGUUACCCAGAGUGUGCUUUGUUUGGCAACACAGACAGCUUUUUUUGUUAACUGACUUGAACUCAUUGUCUCUGCCCCCCCCUCCCAAACCUCUCUCCUGCCCUCACCACCCUUAUCCCCAGCCCAGCUCACCCUCCACAGAUCCCCUUACUUUGGGUUCAUGAAGUACAAAUUAGCAUAAUCAGAUUAUCUGCAUGGGGUUGUUCAGCAUGGAGCUGAAAAGGAAGAAAAGAAAAAGUGGCUCACAAAGAGAAGCCCUGAGGAGGGCAGAGCGGGUGGCAUUGCUGUUGUGCUGUGGUGCUGAAAACUUGCACCUGCGUAGCAAGCAGAUCCUCUUCUCAUUAAGGACUCUUAGAUGGUAUUAAAGCAUAGGAAUUAAUUGGGGGGAGGGUAAGAACACUGAAAGGAUGACGAGGGAGAGGGAGAGGAGAGGAGAGAGGAGAGGAGAGGAGAGGUUGAUUUAACUGUCUAGACUGAGAAUGUAUUCUUUGCUGACAGAGAAAAACAGUUUGAUUUCUAUUCAUCAUAGAGAAGAGAUCAUCUUGAUAAUCUGGCCUAUCAAUAUAAGACUUUUAGAGUUUCUGCAGGAAACUGAUAAAGGUGGAAGAAAAAAAAAGCCAACUCUGUAGGGGCAGGGUAUGUGACUGUAGAGGGUUUUACUGGACAUAUUCUGUGGUGGACUUGCCUUACUAAGAGUAGUAAACAAUCUGCUUGAUUGCCUUAGUGCCUGCCCUGAUUCUCUUUCUGCCCAUGAUAGGAGAUGAAUGCCCCCAGAGGACUCAAGACUCAAAUCCGUAGCCACAGCUUUGCAAAGCAGCUGGGGGCUCUAUAUUCUGGUGUAUUCAGGAACUUGAGACUGAAUGACUUGAAGGUGCCUGUUUUUAAAAAUAUAUUGAGGCUGCUUCUAUGCUACAAGCUCUUCCAGCUGAAUUGUCUAACCAGUCAACCUCAUCUUUCUGAUGUACCUUAAAAGCAUUCAUGGACAGAGAUUACAAGAAAAACACCCCAAAAAGCAGUCACGGCAACCCUAAAAUGUUUCAACUUGAGCCCUUGAGAUCAAGAGUCUUACUGACAGCCUCAGCCCUAGAGUUUUUCCUUACUUCAGAGAGACAGGAUAAAAAGAAACAUAAAUGUCAGGGUAAGUCAAGCUUUGAGGCAGUAUUUAUGACAAACUCCUGCCUAACUUGAACCUCCAGUUUUCAAGAAGGCUGUCUUGGGUUUGAUUUAUCUUAACAGCACCACACAGAGAGCUGCUGGAAAUAUUUAACUGAUGAAGUUGUGAUAAAUAGCAGAGAAACUUUUUUUACUAUUAUUUUAGCAAUAUUUUCACUUAUUUGAAUUUAAAAAUUCUUCUUUAGCAACUUAUAGCUGUACUGUCAAGGGACAUAGAAAACAUGUUUGAUAACUAGAAACACGUAGUCAGUGUAUGUCUGUUUUGGUUCAGGAACAAAACAGACAUACACUGUACUGUAUAUUAGGGAAAUAUUUGAGAUUAAUAGAAGCCACUACUUCAGAAUUACCAAAUUACUGGCAGUUUGCAUUACUUGUUAGAUGUAAGAGAAAGAAGGUGAUGUUACUCUGUUUUCUGCAGCUGACAUAUACAGGAUUCUCUGUCCAUGUCAGAGACAGAAGUCUAUGUCCCUACAACAACUGUAGUGUCCAUCCAGUUUAUGUCAGGCACUGGCAAUCUGUCUUGUUUUCACCUACACUGUAGUCUGAAAGGAGAAUUAUUUUGAUUAAAAAGGCAAAAUUUGUGCAGUUUUGUUUGCAUGUCACCUUAAGUGAACUCAAAUUGAUUUCAAGUAGAUUAUAAAGGUAACAUAGAUCAGUAGAUAACAGACAGAAAGAUAUGAAGACAGACAUGUCUGGUUUGUGUUUUCUGUAUCUGCUCAGCUAUUCUAUUCAAAAUUGACAGGUAAACUUACGGUGCUGAAGUUACCUGCCAUGACUUUCUUCUAAACCUGAGAGCUGGGGAGCACCUGUUUGCAUCCCACAUGUCUAUGCAGAAAUGUGGCCUUUGAGAUUGGGCUGUCCUGUGCCAAGCACAGUGGCUGGGCAUGUUCACCAGACAGCAGCUGGCUGCUCUUCUGUGCCUGGAAAUUUGGGGAAAAUGUUUGCAGCAUAGCUCAGGAGGAAGAGCCAGAGCAGGCAGCUCCCUUCAGUGUUGAGUUAUUUCAGUUCCCUUUCAAGUGGUGGGAGUAUUUCCCACCCAAGCAGGCUGCACCAGCACUAAGUGCUCUUGGCAAGUCCAAUCUGCCAAGCUCACUCUCUCUGUAGGAAGCUCUCAACUGGCAGCUGGCUUUUUGCCAUUCAGUCCCACAGAGAGCCCUGCAAAGCCUCUCAGCAGGACCUGAUUCUUCCUUCUGAAAUGUCUUUUAACCUACGGGCAGUAAAAUAUUUCAGGUCACGGUCAGCUGGUCAGAGAUCCUGUGGUUAACUAGGUCUGGUAGCCUCCACUCAAAAUGCUUUUAGGCAUUGUAGUUUCCUCUUGAGAGUUCAGGUCUUUCCAGUAAGUGUAAAGCUUUUUAAAGCUGGAAUUUAGUGCUGUCAAGUCUUGAGCUGAGGGAAUCCAUAGGUUACGUUCUGGUUGGUUGCAAAUCAAUGUAUCAGAGCAUGGCAGUCCUGCUGUGAUCUGAAGGCAGAGUUAAUAUUGUCUGCUCUUGGCCUUUCUCAGCUCCAGGGUUGAGCACUGCUGUCUGCCAGGGUUUGCCAAAUACAGUCACCAAGACAAAAUCAAUGCUAAUCAAUGUCUACAGACAGGAUUUGAAGCAGAACACCUCCCUGGAGACUUGCUGUCUGCAGGCUGUCAUCCUUUAGCUUUUCAUUAAGGUUUUAGGCUACCUAGGAGUCUGUCUUUCAAGGUGUAGAGCAGGGAAUUGCAGAGAAAGUGAGGGACCUUCCCUAGAUCUAAGGUACUGUGUUCACAGCCAUCUGCAGAAAGGUGUGUGCAUGGAAAACCUCUGCUGCCCCGUGCUUGUGAGUACCUCUCUGCAUUGCUAGCCAAUAUAAAAGUUAGAGACUUCAUCUGAAUCCCAGUGCAGUCCAUACUGAGAUCCACAGGAGUCUCUGAGAUCCACUUCUUCCUGCCCUUCAUCCUGAACCUCUUCUGUGCUGUUCUGUGACAUGGACACUCACCAGGACACAUGCACGCAAGAAAGGCUGGCUGCUCUUGGCCUCUCUUUCUGGUUCUCAGUUCUGAGGAGUCUCUUCUCCAAAAGAAGUUUAUCACUUCAAGGGUCCUCUCUUUUGCUCUGCUGGGUUUGCAAUCCCAGGCAGUGAAACAAACUGUAGAGGGAUGGGGUAUGCAUUUGUGUGCACAUAUGGAAAGGGAGUGGAGUGAGAAUGCAUUGGGAUGAGGCUCUGUUCCUUACAGAGAAGAAUUGGACCAACUCAGUGUGCAAAGAAAAUGCUGCCCUGUCACCGACAUGUUUUAUGAAAAAUCCUUUCCUUAGGAUUUUUCCCCUCCUGAGAAACUGAGAGGCCUCAGGAACAAACUAUAAACAAUUCUUAUCUGCUGCUGUGGAAUGCAACAGGGGGAAUCUGUGAUUGGCCUCGUCAGGCUGUUUUCAAUUAAGAGCCAAUCACAGAUCACCUGUCCGGCUGGUCUCGGUCUGAGGGAAGACUUUGUUAUUUCAUUCCUUUUCUAUUCUUAGCUUAGCCUUCUAGUGAAAUCCUUUCCUCUAUUCUUUUAGUAUAGUUUUAAUAUAAUAUCUAUCAUAUAAUAAUAAAUCAAGCCUUCUGAUA